This 469-nucleotide ribosomal RNA is filed under the name uncultured bacterium. RNAcentral describes it as "partial 16S ribosomal RNA". It matches the Rfam family "Bacterial small subunit ribosomal RNA", at positions 28 to 507 of the family's 1533-position model. The record is from RNAcentral.
GACGAACGCUGGCGGCGUGCUUAACACAUGCAAGUCGAACGGAAAGGCCCUGCUUGCAGGGUGCUCGAGUGGCGAACGGGUGAGUAACACGUGGGUGAUCUGCCCCUUACUUUGGGAUAAGCCUGGGAAACUGGGUCUAAUACUGGAUAGGACCAUGCUGUAGGUGGUGUGGUGGAAAGAUUAGUUUCGGUAAGGGAUGAGCUCGCGGCCUAUCAGCUUGUUGGUGGGGUAAUGGCCUACCAAGGCGUCGACGGGUAGCCGGCCUGAGAGGGUGGACGGCCACAUUGGGACUGAGAUACGGCCCAGACUCCUACGGGAGGCAGCAGUGGGGAAUAUUGCACAAUGGGCGCAAGCCUGAUGCAGCGACGCCGCGUGGGGGAUGACGGCCUUCGGGUUGUAAACUCCUUUCAGCCAUGACGAAGCCCUUGUGGUGACGGUAGUGGAAGAAGAAGCACCGGCUAACUACGUG